AGAUGUUUUGGGACUUCAACUCCCAUCACCCCUAGCUAACAGGACCAGUGGUCAGGGAUGGUGGGAAUUGUAGUCCCAAAACAUCU
This is a non-coding RNA of Podarcis lilfordi (Lilford's wall lizard), 86 nucleotides long. The record is from the annotation of a GenBank genome assembly. Lineage: Eukaryota; Metazoa; Chordata; Lepidosauria; Squamata; Lacertidae.